AUGAAAUCACAGGCAUCACAGUGCAUGUUCUUCAGUAUGUAUACUGGACUUGUGGACAACAUGAUGUCUAUUAAAAAUGAAGGGCAAAUAACAAUGUCAACCUCGAAGCACAAAGUAGAUAAGCCUUUUCGACAUGGCUAUGAUAGGACAGUGUGCACUAGACUGAUGAAAUGUGACAUUGCCACUCAGUCAAGGAGGGACUGGGUAAUCAAGAGACUGGUACUGUGUGAAUGAGCUAAUCAGCUUCCUGCUCUCCAGAGAACACGUUGUUCAGUGAUCACCCACAGCCAGAGAAACCAACCAAGUCUGAUGCAUCAAACUGCUUCAAAUUAAAGACUCAAGUAGAUUGUUCCAUCAUCUGUUCAAAUAUAUGGCUUGCUGAAACAUACUCUUCCAACCAAACCUAGCUGUCAGUCAAGUGGUAAAGUAAUAUAGUAGGACUUUUUGACCACACUAACCACUGAAGCUCAGAUGCCUUCCUCCAUGGCACCCUGUAUGCUCACUGGGGCCUGGGAUUCUCCCAAGACAUAACUGCUGCAUAACAGCUGCCACUACCAUUAGCUGCAUUCGUUAUUACAUUUGCUGUAGCUGCUUGGUUUAUAGGUCCCUUUUUCCCCAAGCUAAGUGCUUCAUACUGCCCUCCUAUCCAGAAUGGGGAGAAGUACCUUUUUUCUUUCUUUUUUUUUUUUUCUUUCUUUUUUUUUUUCUUUUUCAUUUGUGUGAGUUUCUGGGAUGGAAUGACAAUCUUCUACAAAUGCAGAAGAGACACCUUCUACCCUCACUCCCAUUUGGGACAGAUGUUUGCUGUAGUGAAUAUACAUGACACCUUUAUGAAACAUUUAUGUCAAGGAUUCCAUAUCAUGCUAAGCUUCUUGUACUAUUUAACCCAUCUGUCAUUAAAAGUAUCUUUGAAACAUAGUUUGAUAGAAGUCUAAAAAAUACAAUGCCUGGAUUUUUAGAAAUCAAAAUUUACCAUGUAAUAGUCCACAGUAUCAAGUGCACUUUUGUAAUCUGAAAAUUAAAUACAUUUCUUUUUCAGCCUUUUCAAUAGAAUAUUAUUUUGACAUGUUUUUCUACCACCUUACCUUGUUGGAAAUAAGCAGAAGUCAUGUACUUAUGUACAUAAUAAACAGAAUAAAAAUAAACA
Molecule: long non-coding RNA, 1147 nt
Filed under: Anas platyrhynchos platyrhynchos (common mallard)
Lineage: Eukaryota; Metazoa; Chordata; Aves; Anseriformes; Anatidae
Description: lncRNA (ENSAPLG00000028598.1)
Source: RNAcentral